This is a long non-coding RNA of Notothenia coriiceps (black rockcod), 750 nucleotides long. RefSeq lists it as uncharacterized. The record is from RefSeq and is a predicted model, not a curated record. NCBI's taxonomy places the organism in Eukaryota, Metazoa, Chordata, Actinopteri, Perciformes, Nototheniidae. The transcript is spliced from 3 exons.
CUCUAUCACGUACAAUUUGUUGGAGCGCUAGCCAAUAGAAAAGCAAGGGUUACAUAGUGAUGGCACUAUCUUCUAAAGUAAACAAACAAGUCCAAUGGAGGCAUUUAAGGCGGGGGGAGUGCUAGUUUUGAAAUGUGAUGGACUAAAAACAUUUUCUGGAGGGUCUAAGCUUCUUAUCUUUCCCUUUUCUUGCAGUGACUAUAGUGAAAACCAUCGGGAGAGGACCAGACGUCACUGAAAUAUGUGUUAAUACUCCACUGAGUAACAUCACACUCAUAUUCUGUAAGAUCAGAACAGAAAGGAGCAGAGCAGAGUGUUUUCUGCAUUAUGAACCGAUAGAGGUCUUCGAGCAACCAUGUGACUCCAGGUUCUCUCUGAAGACGGAGAAUCAGACUGUGUUUCUCCACCUGAUGAAUUUAACAGCAGUGGACAGUGGGAUCCACACCUGUGAAUGUUCUAAUCAAGAGGGAACAUAUAUCUACCAUCUGAACAUCACUGUGGAAGAAGACAGAGAGGAAAGCAGUUCAACACAAAUGCAGAUUCCAGGUAUUUUGAUUGGUGCAGCUGUAUUCAUCAUCAUCACUGCAGUUAUCCUCGGUUUCUGCAGGAGAAUACAUCAAGGUGUCUGUUCAAGGUCAGCCACAUCUGGAUCAUCUCUAUAUGAAAACCCCGGUAAUUUGGUGAGUGAUGCUUUCUUUAAACUCAGAAAGCAGUCAGUAGAUGUGUAUAAAAUAAUUUAUAAAUGAUGCA